RNAcentral lists this ribosomal RNA (486 nucleotides) under uncultured bacterium. Its description in RNAcentral is "partial 16S ribosomal RNA". It matches the Rfam family "Bacterial small subunit ribosomal RNA", at positions 30 to 507 of the family's 1533-position model. The record is from RNAcentral.
AUUGAACGCUGGCGGCAUGCCUUACACAUGCAAGUCGAACGGCAGCACGGGUGCUUGCCCCUGGUGGCGAGUGGCGAACGGGUGAGUAAUACAUCGGAACAUGUCCUGUAGUGGGGGAUAGCCCGGCGAAAGCCGGAUUAAUACCGCAUACGAUCUACGGAUGAAAGCGGGGGACCUUCGGGCCUCGCGCUAUAGGGUUGGCCGAUAGCUGAUUAGCUAGUUGGUGGGGUAAAGGCCUACCAAGGCGACGAUCAAUAGCUGGUCUGAGAGGACGACCAGCCACACUGGGACUGAGACACGGCCCAGACUCCUACGGGAGGCAGCAGUGGGGAAUUUUGGACAAUGGGCGAAAGCCUGAUCCAGCAAUGCCGCGUGUGUGAAGAAGGCCUUCGGGUUGUAAAGCACUUUUGUCCGGAAAGAAAUCCUUGGCUCUAAUACAGUCGGGGGAUGACGGUACCGGAAGAAUAAGCACCGGCUAACUACGUG